Molecule: long non-coding RNA, 224 nt
Filed under: Gossypium barbadense (sea-island cotton)
Lineage: Eukaryota; Viridiplantae; Streptophyta; Magnoliopsida; Malvales; Malvaceae
Description: long non-coding RNA (GBAR_LNC022412)
Source: RNAcentral
AAUAAUACAGGAGCUUGAAACAUGACUGUUAUUUAGAACGCACCAGGUUUAAAGGUUGGAAAUCUGAAAAGGAAGAGUCUAAACUAGGACUUUCACUUUGGAUUUUGUUGUCAAAAACAUUGGUUGAACAAAAUAAUAAGAUGUCGUGUUGAUGACAAAGCCUAAAUCAACAAGCAAGUAAUGAUCACCAGGCAAUAGAAAGAGGUUGCCUCGGGAAGAGAGCC